Macaca mulatta (Rhesus monkey) is the source of this 13414-nucleotide non-coding RNA. Lineage: Eukaryota; Metazoa; Chordata; Mammalia; Primates; Cercopithecidae. The record is from RefSeq and is a predicted model, not a curated record.
UCAGGUGAUCCAGUCGCCUUGGCCUCCCAAAGUGUUGGGAUUUCAGGCGUGAGCCACAGCACCCGGCCUGUUUUCUUGUUUUGUUUUGUUUCGCCAGAGACCCAUAAGAGAGAUAUUUAAAGAUGCUGUAAGAUAUUUCAGAGUAGAGUUGGAAUCUGUGAUCAGAGUAACUAGAGCACACGAUGAUCCUCUUCACAAAGCUCUCCGAAGAUGGAGAUGGCAAUAUUUCUUUUGACAUCUCUUUCCAGUUUUAUCAUGAGAACUCCCUAUCUUCUUCUUUUCCACAGAUGUUUUCCCAGCAGUGAGAGUAAUGCUAAAACAGCAAUGCAACUUACAGCUGUAAAUGCACUGGUCUUUGCAUAUUGCAUUUGCUGCCCCAAUAGUUCUGUCACCUUUAAUUAAGAGAACAUAGAAACAAAUGAGGACAUUUCCAUUUUUUAUAUGAUAUUAGACUGGUGUCCUAUUUCACUGUUCUGCCUUUACACAGAUUGACUAAGCUAAUUUGAGGGAAGGUUGGUUUACCAUUUGUAAUUCUUAUGCAGGCAUUAAUCAGUAUAAUUAAAAUAUGAUAGCAUCCGGAUGUUAAAAGCACAGGUGGAAUGCAUUAAUGUAGAAAACAAAAGGGAGGAACUGCCACACUGUUUCUGUCUCACACACAGACACACAGACACACACAGAAGUACACACACACAGAUGUGUCUCAGAUCAAAAUUGAAACUAUCCUUAAGCAGGCAGAAGAAAAAUCUACUUACCAAUUCCUCUGCAGGAACUGUCUAAAUCCUAUAAUCUUGUCUUCCACUUGAUGGCGCUAUAAUGGCAUAGAGAUAAAGGAAGAAUCAUUAUUCUUUGUUUGAUUUAUGAAAUUCUGUCCAAAAACCCAAGCCCCAUGUUGGCACGUGCUGAGAAAAAAAGUGCACUCAGAGGUUUCCUUCGUUCUUUUCUUCACAACUGGUAGGUACUGAGAGUGUGGAUGAAGCCUUUUAUAGACUGGCAUUUAAACUAAGCCAAUUUGCUAAAAAGAGGAAUAAAAACAGAUUUUGUGGUGUCUUUUUAAAAAGAGCCCCUCUUCAUUUAGAGACAGCAUCAUGCCACACUUCCUGUGUUACAUAGAUGGCCCUCAUUAUGUGCACAAGAGGUUUUCUGGUAUUAUAAUGUGGAUGGCUAAAAUAUUUAUAUUUUAUGUAUGUAUUACAGUUCAUAUUUUUUAAUAAAAUCUUGGAUAGUUAACAUCUAAACUGAAGAUUUCUGGAGUCUUCAGUCAUUAUUUGCAUUCUGCUCAUCCUGACAUCUCUUCCUCCCACUCUCCAUGUUUGGCAGUUUUAGAGCGCAAGUGAAAAGGCCUAUUCCAGUUGAUGCCAGAGGAGGGUGGGGGCGUGGCUGUUACACCACACUGGCAAGCAAGGCAAACAAGAAACAGGCUUGGCUACCACACAGACUUCAAGAAUGAAAAUAGAUUCAGGAUAUAAUAGUAGUUGGACAACAGUUUGGCUGAUCCCAUCGCAACUCUAGAAAUGCAUCAUUCGAUGCUUUAGAACUCCCUUUUACAGGGCACCGACAUGACUUGUGCUUCAUCCUACAAAGCUACCAAGCAGAAGCUCUCUACUCCUGGCUUUCUGCUGCUUCAGGACUUUCUCUCAGUGCUUGUGUUUCCCUUUAUAUGUUUCUUAAGAUUUACUUCUAUCAACAAAACCCUCUGUAUUAGUCAGCCAGGUCUGCCAUAACAAAGUGUCACCGACUGAGUGGCUUAAAAAACAAAAGUCGGGGGGCUGGGCGCAGUGGCUCAAGCCUGUAAUCCCUGCACUUUGAGAGGCCGAGGUGGGUGGACCACAAGGUCAGGGGAUCGAGACCAUCCUGGCUAACAGGGUGAAACCCUGUCUCUACUAAAAGUAGAAAAAGUUAGCUGGGCGUGGUGGGUGGGUGCCUGUAGUCCAAGCUACUCAGGAGGCUGAGGCGGGAGAAUGGCGUGAACUUGGGAGGCGGAGCUUGCAGUGAGCUGAGAUUGUGCCACUGUACUCCAGCCUGGGCGAGAGAGCGAGACUCAAAAAAAAAAAAAAAAAGUGUAUUUUAUCAGAGUUCUAGAGGCUGGAAUCCGUAGUCGAGGUGCCAGCACUGUCAGUUUCUGGUGAGGCCUCUUUUCCUGGCUUACAGAUGUCCACCUUCUCACUGUGUCCUCACAUGGUCUUUUCUCUGUGUGUCUUCACAGAAAGCUCCAGUGUCUCUUCCUCUUCUUGGAAAGGCACAUUCUGUGGGAUUAGGGUGUCAUCAUCAUAACCUUAUUUAACUUUAAUUACAACUUUAAAGUCCCAGUCUCCAAAUACAGUGACAUUGGGAGUUAGGGCUUCAAUAAGUGAAUUUUGGGGAGGAUACGGUUUAUUCCAAUUCGUAUCUAUAACCCUCUUGUGUAUAUCCCUUUCAGCUGCCCCUGGAGAGAGGAUCUCAUUGUGUACACAGUGCCCCCACUAUGGAUCUUUCUGUCCUCAUUAUUACCAUCACCCUUGUCCAGGUCCUUAUCGUAUCUUCUGGAAACUGUCUCUUUCGUUAGCUCCCUAAUUUGUUCCCUGCCUAGGAUCUUAACCCCAUUUCAUCCUUGACUAGCUUGCCUCAAUGGCAAACUGUUUUGCCACACUUAGCCAUAAAGCUUUUUGAUGAUUCCUCAUUACCUACAGGUUAAAUUUUAAGCUUCAGAUUAUGUCCAUAUGGUCUUACAUAAUGUCUUCAUCAUAAUAUCUGUCAAGUCUUAACUCUACCGCUCCCUUCCCAAGCUUUAAUUAAUAAUAAUGAAUAUUCAUGCUUUUUCGUACUCACCAUGUUUUCUCAUGCUUUCUUUUCCUCUACCUGCAAUAUCCUCCACAUUCUUCUUUCUAGGGUCACUCCUAUGCAUCCAUUGCUUCUACUGCCAUCUCCUUCAAGACAACUUGUCUCUGGAAACCAAAUCACCCUUCUCUCUGCUCCCACAGGACCCUGUGCACAUUUAUAGCCUAGUACUCAGGAUGGUGUAGUAAAAGCAUUUUUUUCUCCAUCUGACCCUUUGAUUAAAGUGUAACAAACAAAGUUCCUAAAGGACUCAAUUCAUUUCUGAUGUAUUUUGUAACCCUAGUGCCUAGCACAAUUCCUGAUAUUACUCAAAGUAAUUUAUUUAUUGAAGAAACUUUCAAUCAGUCUCUCUCACAUGUACAUACCCCCCAUACACAGUCACACAUAUACUCAGAUAUACUUUUAACUAACAAAACCACAAUGUUACCUGGAUGCCAUUUUCCAGAAGUUUGCAAGAUUUUAGACUUCAGCAGAAGAUUGCUGGACCUGACUCUAUGAAGCUUUGAAUAUUUGUUACUUGUAGCUUUGAGAAAAGUGGAAGGUAUUCUUUAAAUAUGAGGUCAGGCAAAAGAUAGGUGCAGGAUUAGAAAUAAGGAGAAGACCCGGUUUACUAUCAGCUUUCUUACCAAAUAAUAGUUACAUUACUCCUAUAAUUCCUGUCAAAGCCAAGUUAAGGGAUAUGGAUAUGCCUUUGGGGGACCAGUGGUUCAGAAUGAGUUACUCCCAAUCUUGAAAAAGUAGCACCAUGUUUGCCUGUGAAGAACAAUAAACUAGUAUGCGUAUUACCAAGUGUUUUAUGUAACUAGAGUACUAGAGGGAAAAAUGUUCUCAGUAGCAAUUCAGUGUGAAUAGUGGAUACAAUGUGGAAAAGAUAGAGAAUGCCUUUCCAAUGGAAUUUGUACUGUUCUUUUUCCCAUAGAUUUAUGGCUGCGCCUGUGAUUUAUCUGGGGAAUGAGAGUGUCCAGGACAAAAUAAAAAGAGCAGCCUGAUCUAUGAUUUUGUUUUAUUCUCUGAGGACAUGGACAUAGCCAGGAUACAGCUGAAUAGUUUAAAAAGUCACAGACCGAGAGCUUAAGAAAAGCCAAAUAUGUGCCAGAAUUAACAGAAGGAUCCCCAGGUAACCGAGAAUAUCAGCUACACCCACAAUUUAACAGAAUCCCCAGGCUGGCUGAGCACCAGAAGAAUUUCAAGGGAUGUUUGUAUCCUGAAUGGCCUUGGAACACAUAUAUAAAGUUUCCCUCCAUGCAUAUAUUCUUCAGUAUAAUAAACAUCGUGUUCCUCUCUGAAGCAAAGGGUAGUCAGAUUUACUGCCCAUUAUAAAAUAUUUGGGUUCUCGGAGCUCAGAGUUCUCUUAUAACACAACCCAGUACUGCCCUUGUAUUCUGCACAUCUGAACUGGAGGAGCAAUGCAGUCCUGAUAAUUGACCCUCCCUGGUGGCCAGACUUUGUGGAGUUUAUCUACAGGUGGGAGUUUAUCCAAAAAAGAUUGUCCUUAAAAUUUGCAUAGCUGAGGCAGGACAGCAGUGCACCAUACUGACUGGCAUCAUUUUGUGAUUAUUUUAUGUGGGAUUAAUCCCAGCAUACACCAAUAUUAACACUAAAAGUAUUGUGGAAUUUUACUGAAUCCUGAGGCCCUGUUUGUUGUCUAAAGAAAGGUAUGCAACCCUGUUUUGCCCAACAGCCUCUAACCUCCCCACCUACCUACUCUGCCCUUGCCUCUCUCAAAGCUCCUGCCAAUCACUGAGGAGCUUGUUAGAAGUAGAUUCUUAGUACUUUCUGCUGAGAUUCAGUAUUUCAAAAUUUAGUGAGAAAUAUGCAUUUUUUUUUGCAAGCAAUUCAGGUGCUUUUGAUACAGAUGGUUAUCAGAUCAUGUUCUCAGUUUUUUCACUCCCACCCCAUCCCAUCCAUGUAAGUGACACCUCAGACCAUAAAUCAUGGGGAGAAUGCUUAGCCAAGCAUGUCAAAAUCCAUUCCUGUUCCUCCUGAUGGAUAGAAAACCUCCUUUCCCUGUUCCUCCCUGAUUUCUAUGCUUCUUGGAAGAAAUGUGAAAGCAGUAUAUUUUUUAAAAGGCCUUCUUUAAGUCUUAAGAAUCUUCUUUUAAAAUGAGUGUGGUUGUGAUUCAUGAUUGUUGAGGGCUUUGUUGCAGCACAUGAGCUCUAAUUGUCUAAUUAUGGACCUAAAUGCAAAGGGCCAGGACUUUCAAAAUUUCCUUUCUCUUCUAGGCAUAAAGACCAAUCAGUCACUGAGACUGUUAACUAUAGUUUCUCAUGUGUUCAACAGCAAGGAGUUAAUUUCAAAUAUUGCUGCUGUGUAUCAAUUUUUCCACCUGUAUCUUUCCAUUCUUAUCCCAUAAUAGCUUCAGCUCUGUUGAGCUUCUGACGGCUUCAAAAAAUGCUGGCUCACUGUUUUUAUUAUUGUUUCUCACCUGCUCCCCUCCCUACCCUGCUUUGAUAUUCAGAUUUUCAUACUUAGAAGGAACAUAGCUGAAAUACUUUGCAAGUGCUUUACCAUUCUGGAUAUGCUUAUUUUCAAAUUGGCUCUGUUGCUGCGUGUAGAAAGAAACCUUGAUUAUAACUGCAUUUGGUGUCCUAUAGUGCACUCUCUUCACUUUCCAUGUCCCUCAAGCAUGCACAAGGCUCACCAGCCUACGGUUCAUACUAAUGCACUGUUUAGCUGGAAUUCCUGUCCUUCUCCACCACCACUUUACCUGGGCGGAAAGAGGGAUGGCAAGGAAACAGAAAGAAGUGAGAGAAGAUAGAGAAACACAUAGGUAGUGACCUUUUUUCUUUUGUAGGAACAAUUCACAUUUAUCUUCCUGAUGUCUGAGAGGAGCUCAUGUUUCCCCUCUUCCUCUCCCUCUCCCUCUCUUAAUGGUUAACCUAGUGGAGAUGUGUUAUAUUCCAGGAGCUUGAGUAGUUUUUGUUUUGAAGUGAACAAUUAGGGUUUGGCCACAGGAGCAUCUGGUAAAGCAUCCUAGAACAGGAGAAGGAAAGUAAGGAUAGUUUUCCCCCUUCACUUUAUGUAUUGUGCUUCAAACAUCCUGUGAGAUAGUUAAGUUAGUUUCAUGGGAAGAGGUUAUAUUUUGAUUGGACAGAGUAGUUUCUGUAGGAGCUGGUCUGAUAUCUGGUUUUCCUUAUAGAUCUCAACCUGACACAACUUGAAGCAGAAAAUACUACACUUUCACUUUGUUUAAACACCAAUAACACUAGCAACUUAUACACUGUUGAACUUUCAGGGAAGUUAUUCUGCAAAUUCCAUAAACACAUCUUUAACAUCUUCAGCAGGAACUAUUACAGGUGUGCUCCGCUUGGGAGCUAAGAAGUUUAUUUUCAUUAUUUACACAGAAAUGAAGAGUACAAUAAAUCGUGCCGUCAAGCAUUUUUGGCAAUUUAGUGAUCCUUUGUUAUGUAGGUAGAUUUGAUUUUCACAUUCAUGAUCCUCACUCAUUCACUCUCUCAAGAUUUUUUGAAGCACCUUUGGAGACAAUGUGUCAUAGUCUCUGUGUAUGUGCACAUAUGCUCUAUUGCCAGGGCUCAACGCCACUUACUAACAAUGCGACUGUGAGCAAAUUGUUUAACUGCUCUUUUUCCUCAUCUAUAAAAUGGGUACAAUGAUAAGCAUAUAACCACAUGGGGAAUUUAGGUGUGUGAUAAGUAAAAAUAUCUGAAAAAAGAUAGCAGAGUAUCUGGUACAUAUUAAGUAUUCAAUAUGUGUUACUCAUUAUCACCUUCCCUGUAGCCAGAGCUGAAAUAGUCAGUUGCUAAGGGAUGACUGGCCUCUAAAAAGAAUGCUUAUUUUUAAAAUUCAGCUUUAGAUGUCACGUAUUAUUGGUGCAUAUGGUUUGCACCAUACGCAAAGUAUGGUAUGAAUGUCAUUUGUUCAACUUGGAAUUUUUUAGGAACACAUUUGCUUUAUGUCAUGCGCCACUAUAAUCAUAUAAGGGCAGGGGCUUUGUUUGCUGAUCACUGUGUCCCCAGAGCCACAGUGUCUGUCAUGUAGUAGGUACUUGAGAAGUAUAUAUGAUAGAGAGGGGGAUACGUUGCUCUGCAGGGGCCUUUGCCUAUACAUGUCUUCCUGGCCAAUAGAAUAAAAUGAUCCUCAGAACAGAUAGCUAUGGACGGAGGAGACAAGGGAGGAGGCAUGUUCCUGCUUCAGGGAAAAAAAAAAAAAAAAAAAAAAGGCUGACGGAUGUGUCACAGUCUUAACCUUCUCUUUAGUUCUAAUGCAUUCCCAGGAUGUGUCACAUGUCAUCUCAGUGGGAGUGUCAUUGGAGGGGAAAGUAGGACAUUCUUAAGUUCCAAGAGGGAUAAGUCAGUUGAAAAUGUGUCAUAAUUCACUAAAAGGAGAUGUCCCCUUUAUUUUUUAUGGCCAAAUUAUUCGGUGGAGGAAACAGCGGGGUGGGGGCAGAUCACUAGCUGUUACAGGCUUUUUCAUUACUCUAUAUGGGAGAUCUCAUAACUGACUUUAUCAGGUGAAAUAUUACCUUCAAUGGCAGUUACAAGGCAAAAGUGGAGAACUCUGCCAUGUGCUAGAAAGAGUAAUCUUUUGAUACUGAGCAUCUUCCUUUCACCUUCCACAAGUUGGCUGGAGAGCAGAAGUGGAAAUUUGGCUCCUAGAUAUAAAAAGCUCUCAGCUAAUUAAUUCAAUGCAUCAAGUAUUUAUUAAGUGCCUAGCAUAAUAAUAAUAAUAAUAAUAAUAAUUUGAAGGAGGAGGAAGAAGAUAAACUAUUAAUUAAGCUCUUACUAGUAUUAGGCAUUAAUUAAGCUGUAUUUUGUAUAUGCAUUAUCUUAGUCACCAUACAAACCAAUAGAAUAGUCAUGGUUAUUUUACAGAUGGAGGAAUUGAGGCCAAGAUAAAUUAAAUUACAGGCAAGCAAUGGUAAAAUAGCAGGUAGAUCUGACCAGCUGUCUGAUACAAAUGUUGAAUAUCCACAGUCCAAAGAGUGUUUGGGGCUGUCAGGAAAUGAUGUAAUCAAAUGGGGCUAAUUAAUAGUAACACCAUAUAGCUGUCAAUGACAGGAACUAGUCGAUUCUCACAGAAACUUUGGAGAGUAGAUAGGUGGGAGAGAUUGAGUUAGGACUAUGGUAUCAUUAAUGUUCAAAUAAAAUGAAGGGAGGCUCCUAAAAAGCCUUCAGAGAUCUAGAGGCCCCUAGCAGAGGAGGUGAUGUAUGAAGAGGGUCUUAAAGAACAAAAGUUAAGUAGCCUAUUUAGUUACAAAAGGGACAACAGGAAUCAGCCAGGAGCAACAACCGUAUAGAAGCUCUAAAGCAAGAAGCUUGCACGACUCUGAGAACUUCAAGUAAUGCUGCAGGGCUGGCUGACACUUAGAAAACUGGGCUAGGAAAGGAGGAGAGGAAGAAAAGGGGCUAGAAAUAUCAUUACUGGGUAUAUAUCCAAAAGAAAAUAAGUUAUUCUACCAAAAAGACAUAUGAACCGGUAUGUUUAUCACAGCAGUAUUCACAAUUGCAAAGACAGGGAAUCAACCUAGGUGCCCAUCAAGAGGGUAUUUGGUAAAGAAAAUGUGGUGCAUAUACACCAUGGAUUACUACACAGCCAGGAAAAUGAAUGAAAUUAUGGUUUUUGCAGCAGCAUUGAUACAGCUUGAUGCCAUUAUCCUAGGUGAAUUAAUGCAGGAACAGUGAACCAAAUACCGUAUGUUCUCACCCAUAAUUGGGAGCUAAACAUUGGGUACACAUGGACAUAAAGAUGACAACGGUAGACACUGGGCACUAUUAGAGGGAGAGGGAGAGAAUGGGGCAAGAGUUGAAAAACUAUCUACUGGGCACUAUGCUUACUACCUGAGUGACAGGGUCAAUCAUACCCUAGACCUCAGCAUCACAAAAUAUACCCAUGUAACAAACCUUUACAUGUGCCCCCUGAAUUAAAAAUUAAAAGUUGAAAAAAAAAAUACAUGACCUCUUAGAGCUGGACAUGGUGGCAUGAGCCUGUAGUCUCAGCUACUCAAGAGACUGACAUGGGAGGUUCACUUGAGUCCAGAAGUUCAGUAAACUCCUAUAUAUAUAUAGGAGUUUAUUAAGGAGUAUUGACUCACAUGAUCACAAGAUGAAGUCCCUCAAUAGGCCUUCUGUAAGGUGAGGAGCAAGGAAGCCAGUCUGAGUCCCAAAACCUCAAAAGCAGGGAAGCCAAUAGUGCAACCUUCAUUCUGUGGCUGAAGACCUGAGAGCCCCUGGAAAACCAGUGGUAUCGGUCCAAGAGUCCAAAAGCUGAAGAAUUUGGAGUUUGAUGUUUGAGGGCAGGAAGCAUCCAGGAUGGGAGAAAGAUGGAGGCAAGAAGACUCAGCCAGUCUAAUUUUUUCAUGUUCCUCUGCCUGCUUUUAUCCUGGCUGUGCUGGCAGCUAAUUAGAUGGUACCCAUCCAGACUGAGGGUGAGUCUGCCUUUCCCAUUCUACUGACUCAAAAUUUAAUCUUUUUUGGCAACACCCUCACAGACAUACCCAGGAACAAUAUUUUACAUCCUUCAAUCCAAUCAAGUUGACACUCAAUAUUAACCAUCACAAGAAAUUUACUCCAUUAGUCUAUUGUUUUCAUACUGCUAUGAAGAAAUACCCAAGACUGGGUAAUUUAUAAAGAAAAAGAGGUUUAAUGGACUCACAGUUACACAUGGCUGGGAGGCUUCACAAUCAUGGCAGAAGGCAAAGGAGGAACAAAGGCACAUCUUACAUGGCAUCAGGCAAGAGAGUGUGUGCAGGGGAACUGCCCUUUAUAAAACCAUCACAUCUCAUGAGACUUAUUCUGUAUCAUGAGAAUGGCACAGGAAAAACUCAGCCCCAUGAUUCAAUUACCUCCCACCUAGUCCCUCCCACAACACAUGAGGAUUAUGGGAGCUAUCAUUCAAGAUGAUAUUUGGGUGGGAACACAGCCAAAUCAUAUCACCUGUGAAUCGCCACUGCACUCCAGCCUGGACAACAAAGCAACACCCGGACUCUAAAAAAAAAAAAAAAAAAAAAAAAAAAAGUGCAUAUAAAAAGAAACCCGAAAAGGGGUUGGAAAGCAAAGAAAGGCCCAGAUGGGACUGGUAGCCUACUCGACCUACUCUAAGGUUGACUCAGCCUAAUCAACUUUGGGAAGUUUGACUUAGUCUUCAAGAGAAUAGAGAGACACUGAAGGAUUUAAGAAGGGCUUGACAGAAUCAGGCCUGCAUUUACAUAGCUCAUUCAUCAAGCAAGGUAGAAAAUGAAUUAGUUGAUUUGGGUCAUGGUUAAAGAGAACAGGACUGUAGGUGGGAAAAUCAGUUGGGAGGUGUUGAGUGAGAGAUAAGAAGCUCCUGAGCUGAGGCACAAACAAUGUGAAUAGAUUGUGAUGCUGGCUGUAAGCAAGGUAGGUAAGGCUACCUUGGAAGGACGCAUCACAUUACACAAGCCCCGCCCAUCUGCUUUCCUGUGCCCAUCAAGCCACACCCACCCCACAUACACACAAUUGAAAAUCACUGCUGCAAUGCACAGGUUUAUUUCUUUGUUUUUACUUUUUUUUUUUUUUAAUUUUUCUUUUUCUGUGAAAGUGUUGGGAUCAGAGAUUCUGCCAGACUUUUAAAAACGAUCGGGUGUAGGAAUGAGAGAAAGUGUGGUUAGAGUGGCUAGUACCUUACCAUGAAAGGAGUGUCAGUAGAAGAAGUGAUUUUGAGAGGGUAGAGGAGCCCCGCAAUAGCUCUAUAACAGUUCUAUGAAGUACCCAGCUCUAUAAAAUACACUGGAGGAGAUAGUUCCCCUCAUUGCAGGAGUCUUCAUACAGGAUCUGAGGCUCUGUCUGGGUCUGAGGGAAGAAAUAAGAUUUGUCUAGGGAUUUGGCUGAUAGGGCAAAGGGAACCUAGAGAAGAGAGGAGCCUGAACAGAGAGUCCUAUGGCUGGGAACAAGUCGUGUGUGACUAACGCCUUUCCAUGUGCCAUAAAAUACAAGGCCCCUUCUCCGAUUACAGAGGCUAGGUUAUCUAGACUCUCAUACUGAUGAAAAGAUGUUUUGAAACUUGCCUAAUAACUCAGUGAAGGGACAGAUCCAUUUUCCAAGCUCCCAGUGGAAUAUUGAAUACCAACUUGAGGCCUUUGAAGAAUAAUGAAUCAUAACAAUUGACGUGUUUGAGUAGUACAGGAUCAGGCUGUGUGCAGCGAGAUUUUAAAAAAUGACCUAUGUGCAGUCACCACUAAAUAGAGUUUCUUGAAGCGUAAACUGAGUCUAUGAUCUGCUUGUGCCAGAGCUGUAAUUCUCCAAGAGGCAGCUUCCUAAGACUUGAUCAAUGGAGGACACCUGUCCCUCCAAAUAACUGGUGGUACUAGGUAUAAUAUAGGAGUGAUCUUCACCCAGAGAUCUUUGUUAGUUGUUGAUUAAUUAAGUUACACUCUCUCUCUCACACACACACACACAAAACACCCAAAUACACACACACACACACACACAGAGCUUAGAUUGAUAGUGCUAAGCAUUGGUCAGAAAAGUUUGCAGAUUAAUUGACAAAACCCUUGGCCACAGUGGUUCUCACUCACCACUGCUAUCCAUAAAAUGGAUUAGCAUAGUAUAUUUACCCUUAUGUCCUUACCCAAAUCAAGAAUAGACCAUAACAGUUUAUUCUGAAACUUACUGAUAUUCCUGACAUAUUAGCCCUUUAAUAACUUAUGUCUUGUGCUCUCACAGCAUGCAUUAUUUUCAAUGCUUUUUCUUAUGCAUUGUCUCAUUGGAAUCUUACAAAAUUCUUGAUUAUUCUAUAUUUUAGAUCCAAGAGUUGAGAUGCAUAGUGAUUCAGUUGCUUCAAAUCGUACACCAAGAUGGUAGCAGAAUAAGUGCCCUAUUGCUUUUAUGCUAGUUAUGCUAGUUAUCUUGCUAGUUGCCUAGAAGCCCAAGAUAAAAAGACACAUGGCUCUUUAAGAAUAUAUCUCCGAGUUGGCCGGGCACGGUGGCUCAAGCCUGUAAUCCCAGCACUUUGGGAGGCCGAGACGAGCGGAUCACAAGGUCAGGAGAUCGAGACCAUCCUGGCUAACAUGGUGAAACCCCGUCUCUACUAAAAAAUACAAAAAACUAGCCGGGCGAGGUGGCGGGUGCCUGUAGUCCCAGCUACUCGGGAGGCUGAGGCAGGCAGGAAAAUGGCGUAAACCCGGGAGGCGGAGCUUGCAGUGAGCUGAGAUCCGGCCACUGCACUCCAGCCUGGGUGACAGAACGAGACUCCGUCUCAAAAAAAAAAAAAAAAAAGAAAAAAGAAAAAAAGAAUAUAUCUCCGAGUUGUGAAAGUCUCUGAGUUCAGUUCUCCCAUCAAUCUCAUUUAUGAGUUUUCAAUAGGACUUUGUACCCAGCGAACUGUGGGAUUUAUGAGUUCUAAUCUUAAAGGAACAAAAAAGAAUUUAUGUAUUAUUAAUUCUUACCUUGAAAUAUACAUAGGCAUUAUGCAGUUUAUCCACAAUAUGUCACUAUUAAAGGUGAUUUGUUUAUUACAAGAAAUGUUUAAAAUUGUUUUCCAGUUUAGAAAUCACCUGUGCGAAAGGUUGCUUUCAUAUUUAUGUAUUUGCCAAGAGUCAAUUAUAGUUUUUUAUUCUUGGUUUGAAGAUAAUCCCCAUGUUAAUAAACAACUCUAAUAUAAGCUCUUGUGCACAGGUUUAUGAUAAAUUCCCUUGGGCCACAGUCAUUUUAUGGGAUAAAAACUUGAAUCACCAGUUAGGCUAGUUGAUUUGUUUGAAAUUGCCUUGGAAAGAAUCCUCAUGUUGGAUAGACCACACUCAUUGCCUGGUCAUCCUGGAAACAGUAACAUUGUGAUUAGGUUUGUGGGAACAGGUAAGUGAGAGGUCUCAAAGGUGUUCUUUUUACUUUUUAAUUUUCUGACAUGAAGUUGAUCUGCAGGACCUGUGUGGACCAAAGGAAAAGAGACCAUGUUACUCUGGAAAAAGAAACAAUGAGGCAGCAAAGAAUGCCACCUAUCAAAUUCAUUUUUGGGUGGAAGAAAACAAGCCAGAAUGACUGCUAGUUAACAGUAGUUUUAAGCUGUACAUGGUGGUGGGCACUUUUAGGCCCAGCUACUUGGGAGGUUGAGACAGAGGGAUUGCUUGAGCCCAGGAGUUUAAGUCUAGCCUGGGUAACACAGUGAAACCUCAUUUUGUUUGUUUGUUUAUUUGUUUUUAAAUAGCUUAUAAGAAGGAAGAUAUAGUCAGCCUCUGUUUCUUGCUCUUUAAUACAUAAAAUUUCAUUGCAUUAAGUGAUAGAUAUACCUUUAUCUUUCAUUAGCAUCUGCAUUUGGGCUUUCAACUUGUUAAUCUUGGUCAUGAGAGAGUCAGUCAUUAAGUAAAGGUUAACAUUUCUAAGCAUUAUAAUUGCAGCUUUGCCAUGAAAUGAACCGUAAGGAAAAGUGAAUCGAACAUAGUUGAGUCUGGGAAAGGGGUAUUUGCAUUAGGGUGUUGGGUCUGGUCUCUGCAUUUGUUAAACUAUUUCUGUUUCUUGUUUUAGUUUUAGAGAAACUUGAAAUUUUCAGAUGGAUAAGGAAGGACUUCACUAAUUUCUGACUCCAGACUCCAGACAUAUCUUCAAUAAAGCAAUGCAGGAGAGCUAUCUAAUCCAUUCUAAAAUUACAUAUAUUCCCUCAAGUAAGAGAAUAAAAAUAAUGUCACUCA